CAACACGGCUUCAGUCGCGGUAGAACCAGGACGGGUCUGGACUCGGCGACCAUCGUUCUCGCUCUACACUACCAAUCAUGACCAAGCCUAUGUCUCCUUCUCGGUAAUGAAACGUCUAAAAUAAAAUAAACAGUUCAAGCAUUUUCUUGGGAAAGACUAACUUCUUUUCAAGUUUAUAAAAUAUAGGAGGGAAAUGUUAGGAACAAAUCGUACGGUGAUAAUAACGAUGAGAAGCUCGUCGUAGCAGCCAAAGAGGCUAAGGAGAGGAUGGACUAUUGAGAAGAAGAAGAAACAUGGAUUUCAUCUGCAGAAACCCAUCCACAUAAAUCCAUCUGCAGAAACUCAUCCAUAGGAAUUCAUCCACAAAAACCCAUCUGCAGAAAUCCAUUCACAUGAACUUAUCCAACACGACUUUGGAGGAAAAAAAACCAUUUGAAUUUUGAAUUAAAAGAACUGUUGGAGACUUGUCACAUCAGACUCAAUUGUUAGAUUAUUUUUCUGUAAAAUCUCUCUAUAUGUACUUA
Molecule: long non-coding RNA, 524 nt
Filed under: Brassica napus (rape)
Lineage: Eukaryota; Viridiplantae; Streptophyta; Magnoliopsida; Brassicales; Brassicaceae
Description: long non-coding RNA (BNAP_LNC013723)
Source: RNAcentral